Molecule: long non-coding RNA, 4024 nt
Filed under: Homo sapiens (human)
Lineage: Eukaryota; Metazoa; Chordata; Mammalia; Primates; Hominidae
Description: GOT1 divergent transcript, transcript variant 4 (GOT1-DT)
Source: RNAcentral
GAGCGAGCGGCGGGUGUCCCUGAGAGGCCACCUUUCGACCUUCGAGGGCCAGGAGGAUACGGGGAGGUGGCCGGAGGGAGUUCCCGAACACAGGUCUUCCUGUUCCCGCCGAGCAGGUGUUGGCGGUGCCAGGCCCGGCCUGGCGGGCCCGGGCUGGCAGCCAAAUACCCAGCGUCUGUGCUCGGGACGGGAGUGUUCGUCCAGGACGUGCAGCUCCGGAGCCUGCGCGGGCGACCUUGACCACCUUUGUCGGCUGUUUCCCCCUGAGGGAAGUAUACCUGUCCUGCCAGCCUUGGUCUCUGGCAGGGAAGGUCCUUCCAACAGAGAGGGGUUCGGGAUACAUGCACAGAAUUGCUUAGAAUUGACUCAACACUGCCUCCUUGCUGAAUGGAUAAUUCAAGCAAACAACUCAAGAGCUGGAUGCUGCCCAGACAGGUAGGCAGCCAGAUAAAGUGAGUGUCCAGGGAAAGAGCAGUAAGGGUCAGAAGAGAAAGAGCCUGGUGUUCUCACUGCCUCCUGCCUUCCUUAUGACUGUCUGUUCAGAAGUCCUCCUAGCAUCUUUCUUCUGCCUUCCCCUGCUCCUGUCCCUGAAACCUUUUCUUCAAAAGAAGUGGAAAAGAGGAACUGGGAACCCAUAUAGCAACAGCAUCACCUGGAAUGAAUUCCUUUAGAACAUACUGUCUUGGAAAUCUGAAGCCUGCAGGGCUGGACAGGCAAGAAGAGCAGUGAGCACUGCAUGAACCUCACCCUUGAACUUCUAUAUGGUCUCCAAAGACAUGAUAAAUACAGAGAUUGCUCUCUCCUCUCAACUGCAACAGUAAUGAUUCCUUUGCAUUUUAAUUAAGUCUUUUACACAUGAAUAAGUCUUUAUCCUCAAAUGGACUAAAGACUCCUCGAGGACAAGAACUAUCCUUCAGUCCCAUACAUUGGUUACCUGGCAAAGGACCCUAAAUGCAGUCUUUCUUUAUUACACAGGCUGGACUCAAACUCCUGGGCUCAAGUGAUCCUCCCACCCUAUGCUCAGCCUCCAAGUAGCUGGUACUAUAGGUGUGCACCACUGCACCCAGCAAAAACCUUAAUAGAAAGGAAAUGAGCCAUGACUACUGAAAAUUAAGACUAGCUAUUAUCCACAAGAGGUGCUCGCUGCCUCUUUGCAGAAGUGAUUCUCAGCCAGAGACCUCAGUAUUUGGAGAAGAGACCUCUUAUCUAUUCCCCAGGGGUCUCAGACCAUUCAAAUCAAAGGAAAACAAUUGAUAACCUUGUAAUUAAUGGAAGGAGGGUCUGCUAAGCAAACAACCACAUAGAGAUGUUUUCUCUGAAAAUUCAGCUUUAUUAUUUGGCCAUGGGAUGAAUUGGGCUGCCUUGGGAAGCAGGAGUUUCCCUUCCCUGGAUUCAGGGAUUCAGACAUCAGAUGGCUAGAUGGACUGCAUGACUUUGAAGAACCUUUCCCACAAAGUCUCUGAUUCUAAAGCAAAGCCUACCCAGAAAUACAAAGGUCACAAUGCCUGUGGACAAUAGAGCGGCAGAGACUGGGCUUCAGCUAGGACACCUAGUUCUCUGAGAGCAUAAUAUCAGCCUGGAACAUCUUGCACCUUGAAUGGUGGAGCUGUGUCUUCUAAGACUUUCGUAAAAAGGUGAUUCAUGGAACGCAUCACUGAGCAAUGCCCUAGUUUAUUCUCUCUUUUCAAUUCUAAGACCUAAGAAUGGAAAGCACUAAGGGAAUGUCAGAGCCACACAAUAAGGGAAGGGCCAGAAUCCUGGUUUCCAGUCCAGGGCUGAACCUCCAGCUUUCCCUCUCUAUAAACAGAUGGAGUUGUCAUGGGCUGAAGAUACUUUCUAACUACUUUCUGCCCAUAGCAACAGUCCAAUGAAAACCUUCACUGAAUAGAAACUCAUAUGCAAUAUUAGAGCAAGAUGAACAGAGAAUAAGACAAAAGAAAAUAAAUAAAGAAGACAAUGGCAAAGGGGCAGAAUAUAAAGAAUUGAAGAGGCAGAGUAGAGAAAACAAGAAAAUGAAGGGAGUUUUUUUAAAAAAAAAUUCUACUCUAAAUGUAUGAGAUGUAGAGAGCCUUAACAUUUAAAAACUGCAAAGAAAGAAAGAUGGUAACAUGCAUUACAUACUAAGAAAGCCACACAAAAGAGAGUAAGGUUAAAAAAAGUUAUAAAUCUCUAUAAUUUAACUAAGAUUAUCUGAUGAGAACAUACACAAGAAAUGCUAGCUGCCUCUUUUCAAAAGUAAUUCUCAGCCAGAGGCCUCAGUAUUUGAAGAAGAGAUGUCCUGUCUAUUCCCCAGGGAUCCCAGGCCACCCAAAUUAAAGGAGAACAGUUGAUAACCUCAUAAUUAGAAGCAAGGCUUCUGUUGUGCCACCGUAGGGCCUUUACACUGCCUUUUCUCGGAGGACUCCCUUCCUUCCUCCCUUCACUACUCUCCAUUUCCUGCUUGUCGUUACUCUAAUUACUUUUACUGUUACUGUGUGGUGGUUGGUCUGGAGGACCUUCAAAAUCCCUUCCAACCCUCUGAGUCCACAAUUCUCUACUUCUGCUUUCAGAAGUACUCCCUACUGUCGCCUUUACUGGGAUCUGAGGUCCAGGGAAUAGUGUAGCGGUAUGUGAUGGGCACAGGGAUGACUCACGUGAUAGCUUGUGCACAUUGCCAUGGCUCAGCUAUCUCUUUGCUGGUGGAAAUAAUCUGGAAGAAUUGGUUCCAGGUCCACGGAGAGGUUGCUCGGUAUCAGACAGUAGUCGCCAUUGGAAGCAGAGGCCAUGUUUCAAAGUAGCUGAGAGUUAUUUUAUUAACGACAAUAAGGGUGAUGAACUAAGUAAUUUGAUGAGUACUUAAAGACAAAACCAUAGAACCUGCCCUUGAGGAACGCACAAACCAAAUGUGGCAACUCUAGGUCCUACGCAUUCAUAAUAAUCAUCACUGCCUGGUACUGAGCACCUUCUAGGUGCUGGGUACUGCUAAGCGUGUAACCUUUGCCAAGUUAUUUAAUCCUCAUGACAUCCAAAUGAAGCAAGUACUGUUGUCAUCCCCACUUUACAAAUGAGGUAGUGGAAGCCCAAAGAUUACAUACUUUACUGCUAUCAGGCAGCUUGUGACAGAUUGGGAUUCAAAUACUAUAUGCUUGGAGGCACAUUACUAGGCUGCCUUCACAAGUCCCCUUUUUGCAUCAGCCAUAAUCCAUUUAAUGAGUCAAGAUUGAUUGCAAGAGAACUGAGGUCCCCAGAUUCAUCUCACUCUGAUUUUAACACUACUUUCAAGAACUCAUGCUCCUAUGGGUCCUUUCUCACCGUGUCAUCUGUGAUCCAACCUGCUUUAACCUGUCUGUUCUCUUACCUGUCUGAACCUGCAGAUGCCCACACUGAGGGAUUCUCAGCCCUGGAAUCCUCCAUGUCUUCCCCUCACUUCACCAAUCUAUCCAGGACCCUGACUGCAUCAAGCCUUUGUAGCAAUGGCAAUGUUACCCCAAACUGACUGCAGAUGCCUGUGACCUUUGGGAUUCCCACCUGUGCUACUUGUCCUGUUCUUAAAUUAAAUAAAUGACCAAGUCAGGGAUCAUAUGCCAUCUUCAAGACAGGAAGUCCUGCUCUCCGGCAUCUUGUCCCCUGAUCCUAGGCAUGGUGUCACUUUCUGCCCAUAGGAACAGUCUAAUAAAAAACUUCACUUGGACUCUAUACUAAUUUACAAUUAAAAUUACUAGCUUUGUGAGAGUAUGCAAAGUAUUCAUGAACUAGGAUUUGGGGAUAGAAGAGGCAGAAAUGUUUUCCCAUAAUAAUGACUAAUAUAGCCAUCGCAAAUGAUAUUAUCUUUUUUUACUUAAUCCAACAAUACUUUUUCAACCCAACUUGAAGAUUAUAAUUAUCUGAAAAGAAGGAUAUUAAUUAUAAUUCAGACUUUUUUAUACCAACUUCCCCAUUCUUCCAGUCACCCCGCCCUACCUUCCCCAUGCCCUCCAGGCAUCCAAAAUUGUGGAAUCAGCAUGUAUAGGGCUGGGUACCCUGUGAAUACUCAGUAAAUAUUAAC